This 82-nucleotide transfer RNA is filed under the name Echinostoma caproni. It matches the Rfam family "tRNA". Rfam says of the family: Transfer RNA (tRNA) molecules are approximately 80 nucleotides in length. Lineage: Eukaryota; Metazoa; Platyhelminthes; Trematoda; Plagiorchiida; Echinostomatidae. The record is from Rfam by way of RNAcentral.
GGCCUCGUAGCUCAGCUGGCAGAGCAUGCACGUACAAAGCGUAUACGGCGUCCAUGCGUGGGUUUGAAUCCCACCGAGGCUA